CAAUUCCGCCACCCCAUACCCAUGCAAGUCGAGCGGAUGAGGGAGCUUGCUCCUGGAUUCAGCGGCGGACGGGUGCAGUAAUGCCUAGGAAUCUGCCUGGUAGUGGGGGAUAACGUCCGCGUAAACGGGCGCUAAUACCGCAUACGUCCUGAGGGAGAAAGUGGGGGAUCUUCGGACCUCACGCUAUCAGAUGAGCCUAGGUCGGAUUAGCUAGUUGGUGGGGUAAAGGCCUACCAAGGCGACGAUCCGUAACUGGUCUGAGAGGAUGAUCAGUCACACUGGAACUGAGACACGGUCCAGACUCCUACGGGAGGCAGCAGUGGGGAAUAUUGGACAAUGGGCGAAAGCCUGAUCCAGCCAUGCCGCGUGUGUGAAGAAGGUCUUCGGAUUGUAAAGCACUUUAAGUUGGGAGGAAGGGCAGUAAGUUAAUACCUUGCUGUUUUGACGUUACCAACAGAAUAAGCACCGGCUAACUUCGUGCCAGCAGCCGCGGUAAUACGAAGGGUGCAAGCGUUAAUCGGAAUUACUGGGCGUAAAGCGCGCGUAGGUGGUUCAGCAAGUUGGAUGUGAAAUCCCCGGGCUCAACCUGGGAACUGCAUCCAAAACUACUGAGCUAGAGUACGGUAGAGGGUGGUGGAAUUUCCCUGUGUAGCGGUGAAAUGCGUAAUAUAGGAAUGAACACCAGUGGCGAAGGCGACCACCUGGACUGAUACUGACACUGAGUGCGAAAGCGUGGGGAGCAACAGGAUUUAGAUAACC
This 759-nucleotide ribosomal RNA is filed under the name Pseudomonas aeruginosa. RNAcentral's name for it is "bacterial SSU rRNA". It matches the Rfam family "Bacterial small subunit ribosomal RNA", at positions 34 to 787 of the family's 1533-position model. The record is from RNAcentral. Lineage: Bacteria; Pseudomonadati; Pseudomonadota; Gammaproteobacteria; Pseudomonadales; Pseudomonadaceae.